RNAcentral lists this ribosomal RNA (918 nucleotides) under uncultured archaeon. RNAcentral describes it as "bacterial SSU rRNA". It matches the Rfam family "Archaeal small subunit ribosomal RNA", at positions 1 to 922 of the family's 1478-position model. The record is from RNAcentral.
UUCCGGUUGAUCCUGCCGGAGGCUACUGCUAUUGGAGUUCGAUUAAGCCAUGCGAGUCUAAGGGGUACUUGUACCCCUGGCAUAAUGCUCAGUAACACGUGGAUAAUCUACCCUUAGGUGGGGCAUAAACCCGGGAAACUGGGGCUAAUACCCCAUAGAUACAGAACGCUGGAAUGCCUCUGUAUUCAAAGCUCCGGCGCCUAAGGAUGAGUCUGCGACCUAUCAGGUAGUAGUCAGGGUCACGACCUGACUAGCCAACGACGGGUACGGGGUGUGAGAGCACUUGCCCGGAGAUGGUUUCUGAGACACGAAACCAGGCCCUACGGGGCGCAGCAGGCGCGAAAACUUCGCAAUGCGGGAAACCGUGACGAGGGAACUCCAAGUGUCUAUGCAAUGCAUAGACUGUUUUUCAGCCUAAAUAGCUGUUAGAGUAGGGGGUGGGUAAGACCGGUGCCAGCCGCCGCGGUAACACCGGCACCCCGAGUGGUAGCCACUAUUAUUGGGCCUGAAGCGUUCGUAGCCGGUUUAGUAAAUUCUUGGGUAAAUCGUACAGCUUAACUGUGCGGAUUCCGGGGACACUACUAGACUUGAGACCGGGAGAGAUUAGAGGUACUUGCAGGGGAGCGGUGAAAUGUUGUAAUCCUGCAGGGACCACCAGUGGCGAAGGCGUCUAAUCAUAACGGCUCUGACGGUGAGGAACGAAACCCUGGGGCGCAAACGGGAUUAGAUACCCCGGUAGUCCAGGGCGUAAACGCUGCUGACUUGGUGUUGGAGAUCCUACGAGGGUGUCCAGUGCUGGCGCGAAGGUAUUAAGUCAGCCGCCUGGGGAGUACGGUCGCAAGACUGAAACUUAAAGGAAUUGGCGGGGGGAGCACUGCAACGUGUGUAGCGUGCGGUUUAAUUGGAUUCAACGCCGGA